This is a non-coding RNA of Acanthosepion pharaonis, 110 nucleotides long. NCBI's taxonomy places the organism in Eukaryota, Metazoa, Mollusca, Cephalopoda, Sepiida, Sepiidae. The record is from the annotation of a GenBank genome assembly.
CGCCAUAUCACAUUGAAACAUUGGUUCCCGUAAGAUCACCGAAGUUAAGCAUUCUUAAGCCUGGACAGUACCUAGAUGAGUAACCGCUUGGGAAUACCAGGUGCUGUAAG